GGUGACAUGGCGCAACGGCAGCGCACCCGACUGUCUAUCGGAAGGUUGCGGGUUCAAGUCCCGUUGUCACCG
RNAcentral lists this transfer RNA (72 nucleotides) under Saprospiraceae bacterium. Its description in RNAcentral is "tRNA-Asp". It matches the Rfam family "tRNA". From Rfam's summary of the family: Transfer RNA (tRNA) molecules are approximately 80 nucleotides in length. Their secondary structure includes four short double-helical elements and three loops (D, anti-codon, and T loops). Further hydrogen bonds mediate the characteristic L-shaped molecular structure. tRNAs have two regions of fundamental functional importance: the anti-codon, which is responsible for specific mRNA codon recognition, and the 3' end, to which the tRNAs corresponding amino acid is attached (by aminoacyl-tRNA synthetases). tRNAs cope with the degeneracy of the genetic code in two manners: having more than one tRNA (with a specific anti-codon) for a particular amino acid; and 'wobble' base-pairing, i.e. permitting non-standard base-pairing at the 3rd anti-codon position. The record is from RNAcentral. Lineage: Bacteria; Pseudomonadati; Bacteroidota; Saprospiria; Saprospirales; Saprospiraceae.